RNAcentral lists this ribosomal RNA (234 nucleotides) under uncultured bacterium. RNAcentral's name for it is "partial 16S ribosomal RNA". It matches the Rfam family "Bacterial small subunit ribosomal RNA", at positions 99 to 334 of the family's 1533-position model. The record is from RNAcentral.
CGGACGGGUGAGGAGCACAUCGGAAUCUACCCUGUCGUGGGGGACAACGUAGGGAAACUUACGCUAAUACCGCAUACGACCUUCGGGUGAAAGCGGGGGACUCGCAAGAGCCUCGCGCGACUGGAUGAGCCGAUGUCCGAUUAGCUAGUUGGCGGGGUAAAGGCCCACCAAGGCGACGAUCGGUAGCUGGUCUGAGAGGACGACCAGCCACACUGGAACUGAGACACGGUCCAG